RNAcentral lists this transfer RNA (73 nucleotides) under Takifugu rubripes (torafugu). It matches the Rfam family "tRNA". Rfam says of the family: Transfer RNA (tRNA) molecules are approximately 80 nucleotides in length. Lineage: Eukaryota; Metazoa; Chordata; Actinopteri; Tetraodontiformes; Tetraodontidae. The record is from Rfam by way of RNAcentral.
GAUUCCAUAGUGCCGUGGUUAUCACGUCUGCCUCACACGCAGAAGGUCCCAGUUUCGAAAACAGGUGGAAACA